CGGUGAAUACGUUCUCGGAGCUUGUACACACCGCCCGUCACACCACGAAAGUCGGGGGGUGCCCGAAGUGCCUACUUUUGCUAGGUCCUAAGGCAAACCCGGUGAUUGGGGUG
Molecule: ribosomal RNA, 113 nt
Filed under: uncultured bacterium
Lineage: Bacteria
Description: partial 16S ribosomal RNA
Rfam family: Bacterial small subunit ribosomal RNA
Source: RNAcentral